UAAUCUGUUUAUAGUAGAUCCUCAUCAAGUUAUAACAGAUUUAUAUCUAACUACUCAAAAUCAUCUAUUAUCUUAAGCGUUGCUAUAUUAAGAAACCAAAUCUAUCAAUGAGUAACAAAAGAACAUUAU
Molecule: non-coding RNA, 129 nt
Organism: Populus trichocarpa (black cottonwood)
Lineage: Eukaryota; Viridiplantae; Streptophyta; Magnoliopsida; Malpighiales; Salicaceae
Source: Rfam